Molecule: ribosomal RNA, 253 nt
Filed under: uncultured bacterium
Lineage: Bacteria
Description: partial 16S ribosomal RNA
Rfam family: Bacterial small subunit ribosomal RNA
Source: RNAcentral
UACGUAGGGUGCGAGCGUUAAUCGGAAUUACUGGGCGUAGAGCGUGCGCAGGCGGUUCGUUGUGUCGGCGGGGAAAGCCCCGGGCUUAACCUGGGAAUGGCCGUUGAAACUGGCGAACUGGAGUGUGGCAGAGGGGGGUGGAAUUCCGCGUGUAGCAGUGAAAUGCGUAGAGAUGCGGAGGAACACCGAUGGCGAAGGCAGCCCCCUGGGCUAACACUGACGCUCAGGCACGAAAGCGUGGGGAGCAAACAGG